This is an RNA transcript of Python bivittatus (Burmese python), 930 nucleotides long. It is a transcript of the gene named coat protein complex I subunit zeta 2, with no coding region annotated. Lineage: Eukaryota; Metazoa; Chordata; Lepidosauria; Squamata; Pythonidae. The record is from RefSeq and is a predicted model, not a curated record.
GCGUGGACAUUUUAGGAGUGGUCCUUCAUUCUACACUUGGGGGCCGGAAAGGCGGGGGGAGCGUUGCAGCCCACCCAAUGCCCGAGUGGGGCGGAGCAGCUCAGUUGGUCCGAGCUGAGCUCUGGCGUGGAGCGAUCCGAGAUGCAAAAAGCAGAGGCCCGGCCACGUCAGCACGACCACCUCGGGAACGUGGCUAGGGGACCCGGAGGAGGAGGAGGAGGAGGAGGAGGAGGUGCGGAUCGCGCCGCCGGAGUGCCGGCUGGAGCCAUGGAAAUCCCCUCCGGUCUGCUGCUGGAACCAUCCCUCUAUACUAUUAAAGCAAUUUUCAUUUUGGACAGCUUUGGACAACGACUUUUGGCCAAGUAUUAUGACAACACAUUUUCAUCAACAAAAGAACAGAAGAGCUUUGAGAGAAACGUCUUCAACAAAACUCAUAAGACAGACAGUGAGAUUGCUUUCUUGGAAGGCUUAACUAUAGUUUAUAAAAGCAGCAUUGAUCUUUUCUUUUAUGUGGUGGGAAGUUCCCAUGAAAAUGAGUUAAUGCUGAUGUCAGUUCUUUCCUGUCUCUUUGAAUCUCUCAGUCAUAUGCUGCGAAAGAAUGUGGAGAAGCGAACUCUGGUGGACAACAUGGAUGGGGUAUUUCUUGUAGUGGAUGAGAUUGUUGAUGGCGGUGUGAUUAUGGAAAGUGAUUCCCAGCAAGUCAUCCAGAAGCUGAAUUUUAGAACGAAUCCCGAGCCUGCAGCUUAUGGCUUCAUUCUCUUUGAUUAUAUCACCACUAAUUUGGACCACAAUGAAACUAUGCCGGAAAGAUUGUCCAAAUAUUGAAACAUCCCCCAAAGUGGGAAGCAGAAGUGGAUGACAGCUCUUUAUCAGAGCACAGCGUCACUCAGGUGCUGCAAUCUGCCAAAGAACAAAUUAAGUGGUCCUUAU